AUUGAACGCUGGCGGCAGGCUUAACACAUGCAAGUCGAGCGAGCGGCGGACGGGUGAGUAAUGUCUGGGCAACUGCCUGAUGGUGGGGGUUAACUUCUGGAACCGGUAGCUAAUACCGCAUACCAUCAGAUGUUCCCCGAUGGGAUUAGCUAGUAGGUGGGGUAAUGGCUCACCUGGGCGACGAUCCCUAGCUGGUCUGAGAGGAUGACAAGCCACACGGGAACUGAGACACGGUCCAGACUCCUACGGUAGGCAGCAGUGGGGAAUAGUGCACAAUGGGCGCAAGCAUGAUGCAGCCAUGCCGCGUGUGUGAAGAAGGCCUUCGGGUUGUAAAGCACUUUCAGCGAGGAGGCGUUACUCGCAGAAGAAGCACCGGCUAACUCCGUGCCAGCAGCCGCGGUAAUAC
RNAcentral lists this ribosomal RNA (406 nucleotides) under uncultured bacterium. RNAcentral describes it as "partial 16S ribosomal RNA". It matches the Rfam family "Bacterial small subunit ribosomal RNA", at positions 30 to 526 of the family's 1533-position model. The record is from RNAcentral.